UACGGAAGGCAGCAGUGGGGAAUAUUGCACAAUGGGCGCAAGCCUGAUGCAGCCAUGCCGCGUGUAUGAAAAAGGCCUUCGGGUUGUAAAGUACUUUCAGUCGUGAGGAAGGUGUUAAGGUUAAUAACCUUAGCAAUUGACGUUAGCGACAGAAGAAGCACCGGCUAACUCCGUGCCAGCAGCCGCGGUAAUACGGAGGGUGCGAGCGUUAAUCGGAAUUACUGGGCGUAAAGGGCACGCAGGCGGUUAAUUAAGUUGGAUGUGAAAUCCCCGGGCUUAACCUGGGAAUGGCAUUCAAGACUGGUUGGCUAGAGUCUUGUAGAGGGGGUAGAAUUCCAUGUGUAGCGGUGAAAUGCGUAGAGAUGUGGAGGAAUACCGGUGGCGAAGGCGGCCCCUGGACAAAGACUGACGCUCAUGUGCGAAAGCGUGGGGAGCAAACAGGGAUUAGAUACC
RNAcentral lists this ribosomal RNA (453 nucleotides) under uncultured bacterium. Its description in RNAcentral is "bacterial SSU rRNA". It matches the Rfam family "Bacterial small subunit ribosomal RNA", at positions 340 to 786 of the family's 1533-position model. The record is from RNAcentral.